UACGUAGGUGGCAAGCGUUGUCCGGAUUUAUUGGGUUUAAAGGGUGCGUAGGUGGCUUGUUAAGUCCGGGGUGAAAGCCCACAGCUCAACUGUGGAACUGCCCUGGAUACUGGCGAGCUUGAGUCCAGACGAGGUUGGCGGAAUGGAUGCUGUAGCGGUGAAAUGCAUAGAUAGCAUCCAGAACCCCGAUUGCGUAGGCAGCUGACUAGGCUGGUACUGACACUGAGGCACGAAAGCGUGGGGAGCGAACAGG
This 253-nucleotide ribosomal RNA is filed under the name uncultured bacterium. Its description in RNAcentral is "partial 16S ribosomal RNA". It matches the Rfam family "Bacterial small subunit ribosomal RNA", at positions 524 to 776 of the family's 1533-position model. The record is from RNAcentral.